Molecule: long non-coding RNA, 437 nt
Filed under: Nicotiana tabacum (common tobacco)
Lineage: Eukaryota; Viridiplantae; Streptophyta; Magnoliopsida; Solanales; Solanaceae
Description: long non-coding RNA (NTAB_LNC005890)
Source: RNAcentral
UAAGUUUAAAGAACGUGGGAAUGUUGAUCAAAGAGGGUAAAACUCCUCUAUUUGAUUUUUGACCUGUCAAACAUUAUAAUCGAGAUUUCCUUAUUAAGAAGUCUAAAGGGCUUGUAAUGACGCAGUUUACCUCGAUUGCUUGUUGAUGGACCAUAUGGCGCCGCAGCACAGGACUAUCAAAAUUAUGAUGUCUUACUCCUUGUGGGACUUGGUAUUGGCGCUACCCCUUUUAUAAGUAUCCUAAAGGAUCUAUUGAACAAUUCAAGAUCAGAAGAACAACUGGUACAAAUUUUACUUCCAAGUUAAUUUAGAACUAACCAAGUAGAAUGUUAAGGGUCCAACUUACAGUCUCUCUGUCCAUGAUGCUACCUUAGGAUUCGAAUACUGAGACCAGCGCAUCAGAUGACAGCUGGACAAGUUAUGCCUCUUCAAGCGCG